RNAcentral lists this ribosomal RNA (450 nucleotides) under uncultured bacterium. RNAcentral's name for it is "bacterial SSU rRNA". It matches the Rfam family "Bacterial small subunit ribosomal RNA", at positions 29 to 524 of the family's 1533-position model. The record is from RNAcentral.
AACGAACGCUGGCGGCAUGCCUAACACAUGCAAGUCGAACGAGACCUUCGGGUCUAGUGGCGCACGGGUGCGUAACGCGUGGGAAUCUGCCCCUCGGUUCGGAACAACAGUUAGAAAUGACUGCUAAUACCGGAUAAUGACGAAAGUCCAAAGAUUUAUCGCCGAGGGAUGAGCCCGCGUAGGAUUAGCUUGUUGGUGGGGUAAUGGCCCACCAAGGCGACGAUCCUUAGCUGGUCUGAGAGGAUGAUCAGCCACACUGGGACUGAGACACGGCCCAGACUCCUACGGGAGGCAGCAGUGGGGAAUAUUGGACAAUGGGCGAAAGCCUGAUCCAGCAAUGCCGCGUGAGUGAUGAAGGCCUUAGGGUUGUAAAGCUCUUUUACCAGGGAUGAUAAUGACAGUACCUGGAGAAUAAGCUCCGGCUAACUCCGUGCCAGCAGCCGCGGUAAU